Molecule: non-coding RNA, 77 nt
Filed under: Chamaesiphon minutus PCC 6605
Lineage: Bacteria; Bacillati; Cyanobacteriota; Cyanophyceae; Gomontiellales; Chamaesiphonaceae
Source: RNAcentral
AGGAGCCGGAUGAGGCGAAAGUUUCAAGUCCGGUUUUGUAGACGAGCGGCUGUCGUGAGAUGGUCGCUUAGUUUAAC